CCUACGGGUGGCAGCAGUGAGGAAUAUUGGUCAAUGGGCGCGAGCCUGAACCAGCCAAGUCGCGUGAGGGAAGACGGCCCUACGGGUUGUAAACCUCUUUUGCCGGGGCGCAACGGGCGCCACGUGUGGCGCCACUGAGAGUACCCGGAGAACAAGCCUCGGAUAACUCCGUGCCAGCAGCCGCGGUAAUACGGAAGCUGCGAGCGUUAUCCGGAUGUAUUGGGUUUAAAGGGUGGGUAGGCGGGGCGGUAAGGCAGUGGUCAAAUUGAGGGGCUCAACCCGUUCCCGCCAUUGAAACUGGAGCUCUUGAGUGGAAAAGAGGUAUGCGGAAUGCGUGGUGUAGCGGUGAAAUGCAUAGAUAUCACGCAGAACCCCGAUUGCGAAGGCAGCAUGCCGGCUUCCGACUGACGCUGAAGCACGAAAGCGUGGGGAUCGAACAGGAUUAGAUACCCGAGUAGUC
This 460-nucleotide ribosomal RNA is filed under the name uncultured bacterium. RNAcentral's name for it is "partial 16S ribosomal RNA". It matches the Rfam family "Bacterial small subunit ribosomal RNA", at positions 338 to 795 of the family's 1533-position model. The record is from RNAcentral.